This 253-nucleotide ribosomal RNA is filed under the name uncultured bacterium. RNAcentral describes it as "partial 16S ribosomal RNA". It matches the Rfam family "Bacterial small subunit ribosomal RNA", at positions 524 to 776 of the family's 1533-position model. The record is from RNAcentral.
UACGAAGGGUGCAAACGUUAUUCGGAUUAACUGGGUGUAAAGGGUGUGUAGACGGUAUAUUAAGUUCGUUGUUAAAUCCAUCGGCCUAACUGAUGGCUUGCGAUGAAAACUGAUAUACUUGAGAGUGGAAGAGAGAAGCGGAAUUCUCGGAGUAGCGGUAAAAUGCGUAGAUCUCGAGAGGAACACCGAUGGCGAAGGCAGCUUCUUGGUCCAUUUCUGACGUUGAUACACGAAAGCGUGGGGAGCAAACAGG